RNAcentral lists this ribosomal RNA (253 nucleotides) under uncultured bacterium. RNAcentral's name for it is "partial 16S ribosomal RNA". It matches the Rfam family "Bacterial small subunit ribosomal RNA", at positions 524 to 776 of the family's 1533-position model. The record is from RNAcentral.
UACGUAGGGUGCGAGCGUUAAUCGGAAUUACUGGGCGUAAAGAGUGCGUAGGCGGUUCGUUAAGUCAGCUGUGAAAGCCCCGGGCUCAACCUGGGAACUGCGGUUGAAACUGGCGAACUAGAAUCUGGCAGAGGGGGGUGGAAUUCCACGUGUAGCAGUGAACUGCGUAGAGAUGUGGAGGAACACCGAUGGCGAAGGCAGCCCCCUGGGCUGAGAUUGACGCUCAGGCACGAAAGCGUGGGGAGCAAACAGG